AAAAAAUUCUUCAUGUCGUUACAUUAGUAAAGUAGGUUGUAAUACUAAAAAAGAAAAAGAAAUGUUUUUCAAUCAUAAGGAGAAAAUUUACAACUCAACUUAAAUUGUUUUUUGUGUUAUUGAUGUUACAUAAGGUUAAAGCGUUAAAUGAUAGGUUCACAAUUUGAUGGACGUAUCUACUUCUGAAAAGGGAUUCAUAGGGUACUGGAGCCUCUUAAAACGCUACAAGUGGGUUAUAAUCUUUCCAACACUCACCUCUUUCUUGAUUUAUAAGGAUUAUACACGCACUUUGAAAUAUAAAGCUGAAAAGGCUAAACUGAAGUCUUGGAUUACAUAAAUUUUGAAG
This is a long non-coding RNA of Stegodyphus dumicola, 346 nucleotides long. RefSeq lists it as uncharacterized. The record is from RefSeq and is a predicted model, not a curated record. NCBI's taxonomy places the organism in Eukaryota, Metazoa, Arthropoda, Arachnida, Araneae, Eresidae.